Molecule: long non-coding RNA, 1954 nt
Organism: Zonotrichia leucophrys gambelii
Lineage: Eukaryota; Metazoa; Chordata; Aves; Passeriformes; Passerellidae
Exons: 4
Source: RefSeq, a predicted model, not a curated record
AGACGUUCCUAGAAGGAUGCUUGGGAAAGGAGUCUGUUGCUCUCUGUGACCAGAGAGCUGCUGCCACACUCAUCCACUUCUAGCCAGCCCUGCACUAAACUUAGAGGUUCAGAACACCUAGAGACAAAUGAGAUGGAAAAAGGCCUCUGUGACACAAGUCCCUGCUGGCCCUGACUGUACAAGCAGGAAGAGACCUAGACAGAAGCCUUGGAGGCAUUUGAUUUCCCUUAGCCCAAACUUCAACUUCAUCUCCUACUGGACCCUUCCAAAGCCCAUGCUGCCUGUCCAUCUGCCAUUUCAGAUGUUAGUCCAUGCAGGAAUGCUGAGUGAGCCACAGUAUUUGCUCUGUUCUUGUUCCAUUGAACAUCUUGUUGUGUAUAAUUCUGCUGCUUGGUUUGUUUCUCAAUGGUGUUAAGAUUAGGCAGUGGAGGAGUUUCUGACAACUGUAAAAACCAUGUCUAAUGGUUUUGUCAAACUGAAGGUUACAAAUUUUAGUACCUUACUACAACUUUCAUUGCAAGUACUUAAAUGCACUCUGAACCUGUAAAUUUUCUUCAUUGUUUCUUGGCCUUGAGCCUGUAUUUUGUUAGACAGGGCAUGCAGCAUGGAGUCCUCUGGAACCACUGCAAGCUAGAUGCACACACCCUUGCAACCUUGCGCAUGGAAGAGCUUGGGGUAUUUGAAUACAUAUUGGGUCCUAUGCAUAAUUUAUUAUUUCAGUGUAUUUCCCAAAGGCUGUGCAGUUAUUUUGGGGGAGGGAAUAAAGGGAGUAUUGCUGGGUUAUUUUCCUGACAGAAUGUUGUAUGAAACUCCAGAGAGCUAUUUUAAACAUAUGAUAAAUAUAAAACUGGACUAAGAGGUACUUUGAAUGAGACAUUUUUUGGUGAAAAUUCUUUUGAUAUCAAGCCACAUAAAUAUUGAGAACUUCAUAAUGAAUUUAGUUGCAGAGAUUUUGAUGGGCAUUUUAAUAUCAAAGUAAAUUGCUAUUAGAAGGAAAAAUUAAAUGCUUUCCAGCUAUGAAACACUGCAAUGAAUAUAAAUUGUGGAGAUAUUGGGAAUGGUUGUUGCACAGCAAGACCAGUCUUAAAAGAGGAAAGAAAUCUUGAUUGUAAUAAUUGUGUUUGUAAAACAAGAAAGACAACACAAAAUUUUCAAGUAAUAUGCAGAAUUAGUAAAAUGUUCUUGCAGGAACAUUUUACCAGGAAAAAAGGGAAAUAUUCUAUUCCAGAUAGGGAGAGGAAAAGCAUUACUUGACUCACAAAUCAUCUGGAGGAACAUUUAUGUUCUCUGUCAAAUAUAUGUAAAUUAAACCAUAUUUUAAAUAUUUUCAUGGCCAGAUAGAACAUGUCUCAAGGGCAAUCCAAGGAAGGAGAACAUUUGAUAAGCACAUGUAGCUCUGGGCAAAGCUCUGUGCGUUCCCACACAUCUGUGAUGCCAGUGAGCUCUGCACCAUGCCACAUGUUUUUUUCCUUCUCCUUAAGCUCUGAAUCAAAUCCUUUUGAAAUCAGUAGAGUUCUGUCUAUAGACUUCAAAGAUGAAGCGCUGUGGAGAAAGUGCAGGUCAGGAUUCAUUUCCUUUUGCUUUCCUUUUCCCUUAGUUUCCUUAAUUUCAGAAAGGCAUAUGCUAUAUUGCAUCUGUUCUCAUACAGUCCUGGGCCAUGAGCCACCAGAGCCUGGCAUCAUGUCAUUGGGCUGUCAAAACAGGGAGGAGCACAGUUCUUCUUCUCUUCUCCUGGCUCCUUUAGUGUCUGGCUCCUUCCACCAGAGCUUUUUUCCCUUCUCAUGAUAUAGAAGAAAGUAUGUGUCAUCUUAAUGAUAUUAUUUUAUGGUAUUCUGGUUUUCAGCUGUGAGAUGAACAUCAGAUGCUUACAUGCUCUCUUUACCCACCCACAAUGUGUGUGCAUGCAUAUAAAUUCAUACUGUACCAUUGCUGCUAUAAAAUUUUUCAGAAUUUA